This 253-nucleotide ribosomal RNA is filed under the name uncultured bacterium. RNAcentral's name for it is "partial 16S ribosomal RNA". It matches the Rfam family "Bacterial small subunit ribosomal RNA", at positions 524 to 776 of the family's 1533-position model. The record is from RNAcentral. RNAcentral also lists the same sequence under 1 other name.
GACGAGCUCUCCAAACGUUAUUCGGUAUUACUGGGCUUAAAGAGUUCGUAGGCGGCUCUGUAGGUGAGAUGUGAAAGCCCUCGGCUUAACCGAGGAACUGCGUUUCAAACCACAGGGCUUGAGGGAGAUAGGGGUAAGCGGAACAGAUGGUGGAGCGGUGAAAUGCAUUGAUAUCAUCUGGAACACCGGUGGCGAAGGCGGCUUACUGGGUCUUUUCUGACGCUGAGGAACGAAAGCUAGGGUAGCGAACGGG